ACGACCGUUUACUAUUUAAACCCCACCAGUAAAAAGAAAAAACAAAUUGACACUUCACCCGGCAGUUACUUUCUUCUUCCACCCGCUCCUCGUAAAAAAAAAUCUUCCACGGUUGCCGGUGGCCGGUUGGCGGGUGUGGGUAAAUAAACCGGCAACCGAUAACUCCCGUUGCCACCCCCUCCACCGACACCCUCUUUCACCGGUCACCGUCAAAUCCAAAACACCUUUUUGGGAUUAAUUAAUUGAUUAAAAAAUUCCGGAUCGCAGAUUUAAAUAAUUCUCCCACUCCUUAAUCCUUCCCGCACUUCUUCUUCUUCUUCAUUCAUCUUCAACUGCACAGAAAACCAGAGAAAGAAAAGAGUAAAGAUUUCGCAUUUAUCAGAGAGAGAGAGAGAGGAAAGCUGAUCCCCUAAGGAAAGUGGACCGUGGGUUUUCCUCUUCCGUCGCCAUCAGUCAUCGGGGUUCCCGCCGGAUUUCAGCCAUUUGCCUUUUUAACCUCCGGUCA
RNAcentral lists this long non-coding RNA (505 nucleotides) under Linum usitatissimum (flax). Its description in RNAcentral is "long non-coding RNA (LUSI_LNC001925)". The record is from RNAcentral. Lineage: Eukaryota; Viridiplantae; Streptophyta; Magnoliopsida; Malpighiales; Linaceae.